CCUACGGGAGGCAGCAGUCGGGAAUCUUGCACAAUGGGCGAAAGCCUGAUGCAGCGACGCCGCGUGAGCGAGGAAGGCCUUCGGGUCGUAAAGCUCUGUUGUCUGCGACGAAGGGUCCGGUCAGGAAAUGGGCCGGGCGUGACGGUAGCAGACGAGGAAGCCCCGGCCAACUACGUGCCAGCAGCCGCGGUAAU
RNAcentral lists this ribosomal RNA (194 nucleotides) under uncultured bacterium. Its description in RNAcentral is "partial 16S ribosomal RNA". It matches the Rfam family "Bacterial small subunit ribosomal RNA", at positions 338 to 524 of the family's 1533-position model. The record is from RNAcentral.